Zingiber officinale is the source of this 1493-nucleotide long non-coding RNA. RefSeq lists it as uncharacterized. The record is from RefSeq and is a predicted model, not a curated record. NCBI's taxonomy places the organism in Eukaryota, Viridiplantae, Streptophyta, Magnoliopsida, Zingiberales, Zingiberaceae. The transcript has 2 exons.
ACAUUCUCAUAUGUUCGUAGGAGAUCUGCGAGGUAAGGGAUUGUUAGCUAAGGUAGUCAAAUGGCUAGUCUGCGAUGCCAAUAGAUUUAACAGGCUGUGAUUCGAUGCUUUGGCGUUAUUCUUGGUUUAUUUCGUAAGGUUUUUCCUGGGAUUUUUGUUGUCAAUUUGGUAUUUGUGAUCGAAUUUGAUGCCAUGUUUCUUUUGGUUGUUCGAGUUCUUAGACAGACGAUUUCUAAUGAUUGAUGUUUUGAGUGUUCUAUGCAAUGCUUGUUUGUUUAAAAGUUUGAUUGAGAUGCCGAUUGGUGGAACGGGUCGUGAUUUGAGGUUUCCAUGAAGUUCUAGAUUCAGUUUGAGGUUCUUGUGGUGUUCUCGACUUGGAUUUGAGAUUUUUGGGAUGAUCUUGCUCGGCUUGUGCCUUCCAUGUUGUUCCUAUUUUGGGUGGUGAUUCUAUCUGGUUUUCUGCAGGGAUUUGGGGUUCCAUGAAUGAGUUUAGAUUUGUUAAGUUUGUCUAGAUGGAUUGUGUUUCUGGAACCAAGAUUUUGGUGGAAUCGGUUAGGUGAUGAUGUUUUGCUUCUGUAUGGGCAGUUUAGAGUUUCGAUCGAUGAUGUUUUCAUUUUCUUCCUGCUUCUGAAUUCGUGGGCAGUGUAUUGUUGGAGUUUUAAUUCUUGAUCGAUGAUGUUCUCGCUGUUCUGUUGCUUCAGAAAUAUUGAAAAGAUUUAGUAGGUGGAGGUUCAAUUUGAUGACGUUCAGUUUCUCCGAAAAACUUUGGGACAGGUUGUAGGUGUUUUUGCGCUUUGAUUGAUACUGCCCUUGCUGUUCUCUAUUGUUUCUAACAUGCUGGACGAAUUCAGAGGUGUGGAUUUCAACUCAAGUUUGUGCUGUAUCAUGUCUUGCAUCACUGUAUUUUUGGUGGAUUUGUGAAUUCGAUGUUGCUUUGUGUUAUGUCCUGCUUUACCGAAUUGUUGAGGGAUUUGUGUGGAUUCAACUCGAUGUGUCUCACUUCUUUGUGUAGCUGUGGAUUUAGUGUAGGGUGAUUGGAGGUUGGUUUAUUGGUAACCUUGUUUUCCCAUGAGCUAAUUGCUGAUAGAUCUAGUAGAUGGGAACAUGAGUUCAAUGUGGUUUCUUUUCCUUGUGAGGGCUUCAAAUUUCCUUUCUUCUGGACAGGUUUGGUGAUGAUUUUGGGAUCUGACACAGUUGUAGAAUUUCUGCUUGUGCCUUUGAUGUAGAUGUUGGUGUUGGUUCUACAUUUUGGGGUGAGGGCAUCACCCAGGAUAUGACGAAAAGCAUGCGGACGGAGUAGGCGAGGAGGCGAGAUGGAGGCAUGGCACUGUCCGAACAUUUAGGAGUGUAGAGUUUACUUGUUCCUUUGUGGGAGGUUCUUUAUUUGUAUAGGGAGAUAUUCUUUGUUCUUAUUUGUUGAACUCUUGUUGGGAUGUUGUUAUUUACAUUGGAUAGGAUAGGAUAGAUCCUUUGGUAAAAGGGCAUUAUAGUUA